This 2123-nucleotide long non-coding RNA is filed under the name Homo sapiens (human). RNAcentral describes it as "PREDICTED lncRNA (TCONS_00125339)". Lineage: Eukaryota; Metazoa; Chordata; Mammalia; Primates; Hominidae. The record is from RNAcentral.
ACCCACAAGCUCGAGGCUGCUGCCACAUGGAAGGCCGGGAGAGAGACGGGCGGCCAGGACAGGGGCCGGCUGUUUGCAGGGGAGGCAUGUGUGUGGAGAACGCCUAGGAGCACGUGGGUGGCCACGAACCCUGACCGUGCAGGUCGAGAAACUCUUCCAGGAUAGUAUGUGGUGGAUCGUGUCUGCCUAAAAGUGAGUCAAUUCUGCCCAUGAGCAAGUCUUCCAGACUGUUGGGCCCUAGACGAAGAACGACCUGCAAGCCGGGAAUUCUCUGCAAAGGACAAUGUCAAAACUCAUCUGAGGCAUCCAUGUCUGUCCUACAGCAAGCUUCCCCGUGACACUGGAGGGACCUAGGCUCCCGGCAGUUUUCAGGAGCCAGCCCUGGGCUAGGGGCUCCACAGUACUUGCAAACAAAGAGUUCCAAAAACCCAAUUUGCAUUCACCCAUGUAAGAAGUGCCUGAUAAGGAAGUAGCGUCUCUAUUUCCUGGGAUGGGGAUUUUUGCUCUGGGGUAUCAGAUAAUAUUAUUUGUAAGCUAGUCAUCACCAUCCUUCGUUUUCUUCUGCCUUAGCAGAUUCAGGUAGAUUUAUGGCACUGACUAUCACUGCUUUAAAGUUAUCAAAAAUCACUUUAAAAGAAAAUGACGAGAUUGCAGAAAAGUGGAGUUUAUUGAAAAUCUGACUGUGGUCCCUUGAAGUUACUGCUUACAGGAUCAGCUGACUUUGGAGAGAAAGCCAUUAUCAGAAUCAAGCAGCAAAUUACUGGCCCCAGAGUUCCUAGCUUGCUACAAUAUCAGCUGUCUAAACCAAAACAAAGCAUUUUGUUGAAGCGGGGAAAAAAAGGCAGAUCAAAGAGUAGCUCAUCCACGUGUCAGUUAGAUUAGCAUUUGAAAUUCCUUGUGAAUGUAUCCACAUGUUUAUGACAGGCAUGGUGUUCAGCUUUAGCAGCAUUAUGGGGAGUUACGAAAUUCUCUGUGUAAAAAUAGCGAGGUCAUGAGGAAACCACUCUUGCUGUGUAAGUCCUGACAAGCCAUGCCAACACCGUCACGCUGGGACUGGCCUUCGGAUGGCACGGGGAGGGCAGAGUCACGCAGGCACACGUGACACGCCCUUGCUCUGCGGCCGGUGGGAUCCCUGGUAGCUUCGCAGUCAUGUGGGGCUUAGUCACAGGAGCAUAGGUCAGGUCCUGCUGAGCCCCCUUUCCAAGUGUGCGGUGCGCAAGCCGCCCAACCCAGGGGCCGGCAGCUGGGACAGGGCGAGCAGUGGGCUGCAGGGAGGAAGUGGGGAAGGCCUGGGGGCAGACGUGCCUGGGCGAGGGCCUUCCUAUUCCUGCUCUCCCUGUCUGCUCUGAGGAUGUGGGCCCUGACCUCCUUAUCUGUAAAGCCCUGAUGGUGGAUGCAGCUUCCUGGAGCUGCUGUGGAAACCACUGGUUAAUAUUUUACAGGUCGCUGGGUUACAAACUGUCAAGUCAGAGGAACACUACACGCUGGCACCAGCUGCUCCUCUGUAGCCACCCGUAUGUCCCUCCUGAGCCGUGGCAGGGAGUGACACCUUUGCCAAUACCACCAUCCACAGGGUCAACAUGACCCCGGGCCCUGGUCUUAGUAACUAGAGGAAACACACCGACUUCAGGCAUUGCUCACAGCCAGAGCUGGUGUUAACUGAAGAAUGUUUUAAUUCACCUGCCGAGGAACUCACACAUUCCUUGCCAGCAGGCACAAUGGCUCUUGAUAGCCUGUGUGCAGGGAACAAAUGUGUUGGCCCCAUGCUCAGGCCAUGCGUACACAUAAGAGCUGUCGUCUGGGUCUUGGCUAAAAUAAACUGAAUCUUCCCGAAAACACAGGUUCCUAUUACGGAGUCCAUGAUAGGAAAGAUGUUCAGCUCUGCUGCUAUCAUGGGGAAGUAGAGUGGUUGAUCUGAAAUCUCCAGAUUCUAAUCAAGGAGAAGAAUGCUGUGCUGUGGCCACAGACCCCACCGUGGUCUCAAAGAAAACCUGGAUCAGAGCCCAUCUUCUGAUCAGUGCCACACCUUCACAUGGGUGUGCAGCAUUUUACUGGGUGACUGCCUUUCAGAACCUUCUGGAAUUUUCCAGAUCCUUCCAGAUUGCAAUAAAGAAAAAGAAUGC